Molecule: ribosomal RNA, 448 nt
Filed under: uncultured bacterium
Lineage: Bacteria
Description: bacterial SSU rRNA
Rfam family: Bacterial small subunit ribosomal RNA
Source: RNAcentral
UGGGGAAUAUUGGACAAUGGGCGCAAGCCUGAUCCAGCCAUGCCGCGUGAGUGAUGAAGGCCUUAGGGUUGUAAAGCUCUUUUUACCGGGGAUGAUAAUGACAGUACCUGGAGAAUAAGCUCCGGCUAACUCCGUGCCAGCAGCCGCGGUAAUACGGAGGGAGCUAGCGUUGUUCGGAAUUACUGGGCGUAAAGCGUACGUAGGCGGUGACUCAAGUCAGAGGUGAAAGCCUGGAGCUCAACUCCAGAACUGCCUUUGAAACUAGGUCGCUAGAAUCACGGAGAGGUGAGUGGAAUUCCGAGUGUAGAGGUGAAAUUCGUAGAUAUUCGGAAGAACACCAGUGGCGAAGGCGGCUCACUGGACGUGUAUUGACGCUGAGGUACGAAAGCGUGGGGAGCAAACAGGAUUAGAUACCCUCGUAGUCCCUGAGCGGGCUGGCAAGGCGCAU